This is a ribosomal RNA of Naegleria gruberi, 119 nucleotides long. The record is from Rfam. NCBI's taxonomy places the organism in Eukaryota, Heterolobosea, Eutetramitea, Acrasida, Naegleriidae.
GACUACGGCCAUAUCACGAUGAAUGCACCUCAUCCCGUCCGAUUUGAGAAGUUAAGCAUCGUCGAGCCACAUCAGUACUGAGGUUGGAGACAACUUGGGAACCUGUGGUGCUGUAGUCU